Molecule: long non-coding RNA, 467 nt
Filed under: Trifolium pratense (red clover)
Lineage: Eukaryota; Viridiplantae; Streptophyta; Magnoliopsida; Fabales; Fabaceae
Description: long non-coding RNA (TPRA_LNC004429)
Source: RNAcentral
UUCAGAAAUGAUUCAACUCGAGGUUAGAGAUUGUAGCUUUUAUUUCUAAAAUUGAUUUUUACACUCAAAUUGUUUAACUCAUUUUAUAUGAAUGUAAUCAAACAUACAAGUGGUUGUUUGGAAUCACAGUCAAUUGAUCGAAAUUACAAUAACUCACUGUAAUUCUGCCAAACUAACCGACUUACGGAUUAUAGAAACGUGAGUCAGCCAAACUAACCGACUUACGGAUUAUAGAAACGUGAGUCAAAGAGUGGAGUGCAAUGCAAGUAUAAGUUGACACCAAAUUAAGAUAUGGGUGAAUUAAUAAUUGUCAAAGUGUGAGAAAAAAUUCAUGAGCACAAGCAAUAAUUAAGCAACAGCAUGUAGAAGAGAAGAUGGAAGAAAUGAAUGGUUUCAGUUGCGUAUACCUCAACAAGAGAAGAGAGGAAGGACUUAUUUAAAAAGAACAGAGAAAUUAGAGUGUGUUG